This 206-nucleotide microRNA precursor is filed under the name Oryza sativa Indica Group (long-grained rice). RNAcentral's name for it is "MIR812 microRNA precursor family". It matches the Rfam family "MIR812 microRNA precursor family". The record is from Rfam by way of RNAcentral. Lineage: Eukaryota; Viridiplantae; Streptophyta; Magnoliopsida; Poales; Poaceae.
AAUAUAAGAUAUUUUGAGUUUCUACUUGCAACGUUUGACCACUCGUCAUAUUCAAUUUUUUUUUGAAAUUAUUAUUUAUUUUAUUUGUGACUUACUUUAUCAUCCACAGUACUUUAAGCAUAACUUUUCGUUUUUUAUAUUUGCAAAAAAAAAUUGAAUAAGACGAGUGGUCAAACGUUGUAAGUAAAAACUCAAAAUCCCUUAUA